RNAcentral lists this ribosomal RNA (253 nucleotides) under uncultured bacterium. RNAcentral's name for it is "partial 16S ribosomal RNA". It matches the Rfam family "Bacterial small subunit ribosomal RNA", at positions 524 to 776 of the family's 1533-position model. The record is from RNAcentral.
UACGUAGGGUGCGAGCGUUAAUCGGAAUUACUGGGCGUAAAGCGUGCGCAGGCGGUUAUGCAAGACAGAUGUGAAAUCCCCGGGCUCAACCUGGGAACUGCAUUUGUGACUGCAUGGCUAGAGUGCGGCAGAGGGGGAUGGAAUUCCGCGUGUAGCAGUGAAAUGCGUAGAUAUGCGGAGGAACACCGAUGGCGAAGGCAAUCCCCUGGGCCUGCACUGACGCUCAUGCACGAAAGCGUGGGGAGCAAGCAGG